UUAUAGAGAAUUAUAUAUUCCGCUUUAAAAAAAUCAUGUAGCUUAAUUUUAAUUUUAAACGGUUAGUGAUUGCUUUCAAGGGAAAUAAAAUGUAAAACAUUUAAAAAGUUCUAAAAGGAGUAAGCAUUUUGAAAGAUUAAAUUAUAUGCACUUUUUACAUUCGAGAGAAAUUUACGUGCAUUAUUAAAAUGGGAAUACGGUAACACUGUUUCGUUUACUUUUUAUGUUUAUUCCCCCUCUCUAUAAGCACGCAUGCUCUGUGUAAAACUUUGCCACUCGUAAAAUCUCAGUUGGAUUUUAUAUUUUCUUUUCGUCUCUUUUGGGUUUAAUUGAAUUUUAACUGUUGUCGACUACACUUCGUGUAGUUCGCGGCCUCUUAAUUGGUGUUCGUGUGUGCUUUUCUGAGUGUGCGAUUUAAAAUUUGUGUAUAAACGAUUUUUUGGUGUGCAUUGACAUACGCAUAGAAAAAAAGAAGAGGAUUUUUAAUUUGGAAAAAAUCAACACAAACGUAAACAUAUAGAAAUUUGCGUUUCGAAAUCUGCUUUAAGCAAUAUAUGAAAACGGAAAAGAAUUUAAUGAGCAUAAAGAAAUUCGUAAAUAUUUUUAAAAUUUAAAUUUUUAACACGAACAACAAGGAAAUAUAUGUUAAAUUUAAAACUCUGCAAAAGCUAAACAAGCUGCCUGAAGCCGCCUUGCAUAUACAUUUUCAUAAAAUUAAGCAAAAGCGAGACAGCUUCAUCAAUUCUCUAUUUCGCAAACG
Molecule: long non-coding RNA, 760 nt
Organism: Glossina fuscipes
Lineage: Eukaryota; Metazoa; Arthropoda; Insecta; Diptera; Glossinidae
Exons: 2
Source: RefSeq, a predicted model, not a curated record